Molecule: ribosomal RNA, 1061 nt
Filed under: uncultured bacterium
Lineage: Bacteria
Description: bacterial SSU rRNA
Rfam family: Bacterial small subunit ribosomal RNA
Source: RNAcentral
GCCGGGGGAUGAGUCCGCGACCCAUUAGCUGGACGGCGGGGUAAAGGCCCACCGUGGCGACGAUGGGUAGCCGGCCUGAGAGGGUGGACGGCCACAUCGGAACUGAGACACGGUCCAGACUCCUACGGGAGGCAGCAGCUAAGAAUCUUCCGCAAUGGGCGAAAGCCUGACGGAGCGACGCCGCGUGAACGAAGAAGGCCGUGAGGUUGUAAAGUUCUUUUCGGGAGGGGGAAUGACCGUGGCAGGGAAUGGCCGCGGGAUGACGUGAAUCCCGGAACAAGCCCCGGCUAACUACGUGCCAGCAGCCGCGGUAACACGUAGGGGGCGAGCGUUGUUCGGAAUCAUUGGGCGUAAAGGGCGUGCAGGCGGCACUGCAAGUCCGGCGUGAAAGACCCCGGCCCAACCGGGGGGGUGCGCUGGAAACUGCGGUGCUUGAGUACAGGAGGGGAUGCCGGAAUUCCAGGUGUAGGGGUGAAAUCUGUAGAUAUCUGGAAGAACACCGAUGGCGAAGGCAGGCAUCUGGCCAUGUACUGACGCUGAGACGCGAAGGUGCGGGGAGCAAACAGGUUUAGAUACCCUGGUAGUCCGCACAGUAAACGAUGUGCACCAGGUGGCGGGGGUAGAACCCCCGGUACCGUAGCAAACGCAUUAAGUGCACCGCCUGGGGAGUAUGCUCGCAAGGGUGAAACUCAAAGGAAUUGACGGGGGCCCGCACAAGCGGUGGAGCAUGUGGUUUAAUUCGAUGGUACGCGAGAAACCUUACCAGGGCUUGACAUACACCGGAAGCGCCGUGAAAGCGGCGUGCCGCUUGCGGCCGGUGAACAGGUGCUGCAUGGCUGUCGUCAGCUCGUGCUGUGAAGUGUUGGGUUAAGUCCCGCAACGAGCGCAACCCCUGCCGUCUGUUGCCACCACGAAAGGUGGGGACUCAGGCGGGACCGCCGGUGACAAACCGGAGGAAGGUGGGGACGACGUCAAGUCAUCAUGGCCCUUAUGUCCUGGGCCACACACGUGCUACAAUGGCCGGUACAGAGCGCAGCGAGGCCGCGAGGCGGAGCGAAUCG